AUUGAACGCUGGCGGCAGGCCUAACACAUGCAAGUCGAACGGUAACAGAAAGCAGCUUGCUGCUUUGCUGACGAGUGGCGGACGGGUGAGUAAUGUCUGGGAAACUGCCUGAUGGAGGGGGAUAACUACUGGAAACGGUAGCUAAUACCGCAUAACGUCGCAAGACCAAAGAGGGGGACCUUCGGGCCUCUUGCCAUCGGAUGUGCCCAGAUGGGAUUAGCUAGUAGGUGGGGUAAAGGCUCACCUAGGCGACGAUCCCUAGCUGGUCUGAGAGGAUGACCAGCCACACUGGAACUGAGACACGGUCCAGACUCCUACGGGAGGCAGCAGUGGGGAAUAUUGCACAGUGGGCGCAAGCCUGAUGCAGCCAUGCCGCGUGUAUGAAGAAGGCCUUCGGGUUGUAAAGUACUUUCAGCGGGGAGGAAGGGAGUAAAGUUAAUACCUUUGCUCAUUGACGUUACCCGCAGAAGAAGCACCGGCUAACUCCGUG
Molecule: ribosomal RNA, 490 nt
Filed under: uncultured bacterium
Lineage: Bacteria
Description: partial 16S ribosomal RNA
Rfam family: Bacterial small subunit ribosomal RNA
Source: RNAcentral